AACGAACGCUGGCGGCAGGCUUAACACAUGCAAGUCGAGCGAGACCUUCGGGUCUAGCGGCGGACGGGUGAGUAACGCGUGGGAACGUGCCCUUCUCUACGGAAUAGCUCCGGGAAACUGGGAGUAAUACCGUAUACGCCCUUUGGGGGAAAGAUUUAUCGGAGAAGGAUCGUCCCGCGUUGGAUUAGGUAGUUGGUUGGGUAAUGGCCCACCAAGCCGACGAUCCAUAGCUGGUUUGAGAGGAUGAUCAGCCACACUGGGACUGAGACACGGCCCAGACUCCUACGGGAGGCAGCAGUGGGGAAUCUUAGACAAUGGGGGCAACCAUGAUCUAGCCAUGCCGCGUGAGUGAUGAAGGCCUUAGGGUUGUAAAGCUCUUUCAGCUGGGAAGAUAAUGACGGUACCAGCAGAAGAAGCCCCGGCUAACUCCGUG
Molecule: ribosomal RNA, 433 nt
Filed under: uncultured bacterium
Lineage: Bacteria
Description: partial 16S ribosomal RNA
Rfam family: Bacterial small subunit ribosomal RNA
Source: RNAcentral